This 468-nucleotide ribosomal RNA is filed under the name uncultured bacterium. RNAcentral's name for it is "partial 16S ribosomal RNA". It matches the Rfam family "Bacterial small subunit ribosomal RNA", at positions 28 to 507 of the family's 1533-position model. The record is from RNAcentral.
GACGAACGCUGGCGGCGUGCUUAACACAUGCAAGUCGAACGGAAAGGCCCUGCUUUUGUGGGGUGCUCGAGUGGCGAACGGGUGAGUAACACGUGAGUAACCUGCCCUUGACUUUGGGAUAACUUCAGGAAACUGGGGCUAAUACCGGAUAGGAGCUCCUGCUGCAUGGUGGGGGUUGGAAAGUUUCGGCGGUUGGGGAUGGACUCGCGGCUUAUCAGCUUGUUGGUGGGGUAGUGGCUUACCAAGGCUUUGACGGGUAGCCGGCCUGAGAGGGUGACCGGCACCAUUGGGACUGAGAUACGCCCCAGACUCCUCCGGGAGGCAGCAGUGGGGAAUAUUGCACAAUGGGCGGACGCCUGAUGCAGCAACGCCGCGUGCGGGAUGACGGCCUUCGGGUUGUAAACCGCUUUCGCCUGUGACGAAGCGUGAGUGACGGUAAUGGGUAAAGAAGCACCGGCUAACUACGUG